Molecule: ribosomal RNA, 277 nt
Filed under: uncultured Eubacteriales bacterium
Lineage: Bacteria; Bacillati; Bacillota; Clostridia; Eubacteriales
Description: uncultured Clostridiales bacterium partial 16S ribosomal RNA
Rfam family: Bacterial small subunit ribosomal RNA
Source: RNAcentral
UCGAUUUCUUCGGAUUGAAAUUUUAGUGACUGAGUGGCGGACGGGUGAGUAACGCGUGGGUAACCUGCCUCACACUGGGGGAUAACAGUUAGAAAUAGCUGCUAAUACCGCAUAAGCGCACGGUGUCGCAUGACACAGUGUGAAAAACUCCGGUGGUAUAAGAUGGACCCGCGUCUGAUUAGCCAGUUGGCAGGGUAACGGCCCACCAAGGCGACGAUCAGUAGCCGGCCUGAGAGGGUGAACGGCCACAUUGGGACUGAGACACGGCCCAAACUCC